AAGUGGGAAGCAAAUGUUGCAAUCAGUUUCGACCUGAUCUUAGAUAAAAUCACCUUAUCCCCACUUU
RNAcentral lists this transfer RNA (67 nucleotides) under Furculitermes soyeri. RNAcentral's name for it is "tRNA-Arg". Lineage: Eukaryota; Metazoa; Arthropoda; Insecta; Blattodea; Termitidae. The record is from RNAcentral.